This 423-nucleotide ribosomal RNA is filed under the name uncultured bacterium. Its description in RNAcentral is "bacterial SSU rRNA". It matches the Rfam family "Bacterial small subunit ribosomal RNA", at positions 207 to 622 of the family's 1533-position model. The record is from RNAcentral.
AAGACCUUGCGCUUUUGGAGCGGCCGAUGCCUGAUUAGCUUGUUGGUAAGGUAAAAGCUUACCAAGGCUUCGAUCAGUAGCUGGUCUGAGAGGACGACCAGCCACACUGGGACUGAGACACGGCCCAGACUCCUACGGGAGGCAGCAGUGGGGAAUUUUGGACAAUGGGGGCAACCCUGAUCCAGCCAUGCCGCGUGAGUGAAGAAGGCCUUUGGGUUGUAAAGCUCUUUCAGCCGGAACGAAACGGUUACGGAUAACACCCGUGACUACUGACGGUACCGGAAGAAGAAGCACCGGCUAACUACGUGCCAGCAGCCGCGGUAAUACGUAGGGUGCGAGCGUUAAUCGGAAUUACUGGGCGUAAAGCGUGCGCAGGUGGUUUUGUAAGUCAGAUGUGAAAUCCCCGGGCUUAACCUGGGAACU